RNAcentral lists this ribosomal RNA (487 nucleotides) under uncultured bacterium. RNAcentral's name for it is "bacterial SSU rRNA". It matches the Rfam family "Bacterial small subunit ribosomal RNA", at positions 29 to 486 of the family's 1533-position model. The record is from RNAcentral.
AGCGAACGCUGGCGGCGUGCUUAACACAUGCAAGUCGAGCGAAGGUGUUUCAAGGGUAACCUUGAGAUACACUUAGCGGCGGACGGGUGAGUAAUACGUGGAUAACUUACCUCUAGGCCUGGGAUAACCCCGGGAAACUGGGGCUAAUACCUGAUAAGACCACAUUGUCUACGGACAAAGGGGUAAAAGGUGGCUGUGCAAACAGCUAUCGCCAAAAGAUAGGUUCACGUCCCAUCAGGCAGUGGUGAGGUAAUGGCUCACCAAACCAAAGACGGGUAGCCGGCCUUGGCGGGUGAACGGCCACACGGGGACUGAGACACGGCCCCGACUCCUACGGGAGGCAGCAGUGGGGAAUAUUGGGCAAUGGGCGCAAGCCUGACCCAGCGACGUCGCGUUGGGGAAGAAGGCCUCCGGGUUGUAAACCCAUGUCGGGAGGAAAGAUGGGUCUGUUUGCUAAUACCAAAUGGACUUGACGGUACCUCCGGGA